This 342-nucleotide ribosomal RNA is filed under the name Blastocystis sp. subtype 1. RNAcentral describes it as "SSU rRNA". It matches the Rfam family "Eukaryotic small subunit ribosomal RNA", at positions 706 to 1050 of the family's 1831-position model. Lineage: Eukaryota; Bigyra; Opalinata; Blastocystidae. The record is from RNAcentral.
UAUCCAGUAGUGGGUAUUCAGUUACUUACUAUUGUGUGUUGGUCGUUUACUGUGAGAAAAUUAGAGUGUUCAAAGCAGGCGUUUGCUUGAAUAGAUUAGCAUGGAAUAAUAAUUGAAGGCUUUCGUGUUCGAUUUGAUUGGUUUGUUCAUGGAAGCAAGGUUAAAAGGAACAGUUGGGGGUAUUCAUAUUCACUAGUUAGAGGUGAAAUUCUCGGAUUUAUGGAAGAUGAACAAGUGCGAAAGCAUUUACCAAGGAUGUUUUCAUUAAUCAAGAACGAAAGCUAGGGGAUCGAAGAGGAUUAGAUACCCUCGUAGUCUUAGCUAUAAACGAUACCGACUAGG